AUACAGAGGGUGCGAGCGUUAAUCGGAAUUACUGGGCGUAAAGCGCGCGUAGGCGGCUUGGUCAGUCGGAUGUGAAAGCCCCGGGCUUAACCUGGGAACUGCAUUCGAUACUGUCAAGCUAGAGUAUGGUAGAGGGAAGUGGAAUUUCCGGUGUAGCGGUGAAAUGCGUAGAUAUCGGAAAGAACACCAGUGGCGAAGGCGACUUCCUGGACCAAUACUGACGCUGAGGUGCGAAAGCGUGGGGAGCAAACAGGAUUAGAAACCCCAGUAGUCC
RNAcentral lists this ribosomal RNA (274 nucleotides) under uncultured bacterium. RNAcentral's name for it is "partial 16S ribosomal RNA". It matches the Rfam family "Bacterial small subunit ribosomal RNA", at positions 523 to 796 of the family's 1533-position model. The record is from RNAcentral.